RNAcentral lists this ribosomal RNA (459 nucleotides) under uncultured bacterium. Its description in RNAcentral is "partial 16S ribosomal RNA". It matches the Rfam family "Bacterial small subunit ribosomal RNA", at positions 338 to 795 of the family's 1533-position model. The record is from RNAcentral.
CCUACGGGAGGCAGCAGUGAGGAAUAUUGGUCAAUGGCCGAGAGGCUGAACCAGCCAAGUCGCGUGAGGGAUGACGGCCCUAUGGGUUGUAAACCUCUUUUGUAGGGGAGUAAAGCGAACCACGUGUGGUUUAUUGAAAGUACCCGAAGAAAAAGGAUCGGCUAACUCCGUGCCAGCAGCCGCGGUAAUACGGAGGAUGCGAGCGUUAUCCGGAUUUAUUGGGUUUAAAGGGUGCGAAGGCGGAUGUGCAAGUCAGUGGUCAAAUUGCGGGGCUCAACCCCGUAUUGCCGUUGAAACUGGCACCCUUGAGUGCGCGAGAGGUGUGCGGAAUUCGUGGUGUAGCGGUGAAAUGCAUAGAUAUCACGAAGAACUCCGAUUGCGAAGGCAGCUUACUGGCGCGCAACUGACGCUGAGGCACGAAAGCGUGGGUAUCAAACAGGAUUAGAUACCCCGGUAGUC